CGGGCGGGGGGCGGGCGCCCGGGCCGCCCUGCGGGGCGCCCCUGCUCCGCCCCGGGCUGGCUCGCUCGGACGCGCCGCCCAGGGCCACCGGGGGCCACCGGGGCUCUCCUGCGGAGCUCUGGGCGGCCCUCAGCCCCCUCGCGCAUGCACGCAGGCAUUCGUUCCCUAACCAUUUAUUGGGUACCUACUGUGUGCCGAGCCCUCAGUGAUUUUCUGCCUAGGAAUGUCAAACACGGCGUUCAACAAAUCUUUGAAAUGAGGAAGAGUCUUGCCCAGCUGAGGUCCUGCUGACUUCAAGUCCAGUGUUCAUCUCGUUCCACUAGGAAUUUCAGCUCUGGAGCUGUAUAGCCCUGUCUUCUCUGCCGCGUCCCAGCUCCGGUACAGCAGCACGUGGCUCACGCCUCCGAAGUACGUACACUAAGAACCCCGUGUGAGUGAUACACUAAGAGGAUGGAAAAUUUUACCAAGAGGUAAUCAUGGCCUUGGCCUACCUACUGAAAAAGUCUGCAUGGUAUUUGAUGGUAACAAAUCUAUCUGAUUGGAUGGCAUCUCCUGGGAAGUGAGAACAUAAGAAGGAGGCACCAAGAGGCAUUCAUUCGUUCACCAAAUAUUGAUUAACACCAGCUAAAUGCCCUGCUCUGUUCUGGGUUCUGGGGAUAGAGUGAAGUCUUUUGAUUUUAUGGAGCUUAUACGUGAAGAGACAAAAAAAUGGAGUCACUUUAAGAUGACCUCUGAUCUGAAAAACAAGGACUGUGGUAGAUUGUGUAGAUUGCAUUGGCUUCAAUUCUUCCCUCCUCUCUGCAUCCAUGCUCUUUGCCAUGUAGCCUUGAAGUUCCUUACAUUAGAAGUAGAUGGACUUCUCCCUGCUGGACUUUGGGCUUGGCCAUGUGACUUGCUUUAGCCAAUGGGAUGUUAGCAGAUGUUAUGCAAUUAGAGGCUUGAAAUAUG
Leopardus geoffroyi (Geoffroy's cat) is the source of this 948-nucleotide long non-coding RNA. RefSeq lists it as uncharacterized. The record is from RefSeq and is a predicted model, not a curated record. The transcript is spliced from 4 exons. Lineage: Eukaryota; Metazoa; Chordata; Mammalia; Carnivora; Felidae.